GAAAAGAAGUAGGAUUGAGGAUCAAUACAUUAUUAGGAAAGUACUAAUAUAUUGGACUCCGAUAUCUUAUCUCAUGAUAGAAUCCUUGAAAACUGCCAUUAAUUUACCAACGUAAAAAUUACCAUCACAAUCUCAUUGGCUAAGGAACAAAAGCAAUAAUUGGAGGGUAAAUGGGAGCAAAGAAAUAAAGUGAAAGUAGUAUUCUUUUUUCCGUUGGACAAAACAGGCGCACACAAUAGCACAAAGGAAAGUAGAGAGACG
This 261-nucleotide unclassified non-coding RNA is filed under the name Hevea brasiliensis (rubber tree). Lineage: Eukaryota; Viridiplantae; Streptophyta; Magnoliopsida; Malpighiales; Euphorbiaceae. The record is from RNAcentral.